This 209-nucleotide unclassified non-coding RNA is filed under the name fungal sp. RNAcentral's name for it is "partial internal transcribed spacer region". The stretch from base 1 to 46 matches the Rfam family "Eukaryotic small subunit ribosomal RNA", at positions 1786 to 1831 of the family's 1831-position model. Lineage: Eukaryota; Fungi. The record is from RNAcentral.
AAGUCGUAACAAGGUUUCCGUAGGUGAACCUGCGGAAGGAUCAUUAAAGAGAAAUGUGCUGUGCAUCGUCUCUCACGAGCGAUGCCUUCACAAACUUUUCUAUGAAAACUGUCGGCAAGCAUUUCGGUGCUUUGCCAAACCCACUCUAAAUUUAGACAAAUUGUUAACAUAACAAAAUACAACUUUUAACAAUGGAUCUCUUGGCUCUC